RNAcentral lists this ribosomal RNA (511 nucleotides) under Halobacillus sp. LD4. RNAcentral describes it as "bacterial SSU rRNA". It matches the Rfam family "Bacterial small subunit ribosomal RNA", at positions 930 to 1440 of the family's 1533-position model. The record is from RNAcentral. Lineage: Bacteria; Bacillati; Bacillota; Bacilli; Caryophanales; Bacillaceae.
CGUUCGAGCAAGAAUUCUUGUUAGAACUUACGCACACGUACUUUACCGCGUCUGUACUUCCUUAGAUAUCCCGGGAGAUAUGGCUUUCCUUUCUGCCAGUGAGUGACAGGUGGUUCAUGGUUGUCGUCUGCCUGCGUAGAGAGAUGUUGGAUUAAGUCCCCCACCGUGCGCACCCCGUGGUGUUUGUUUCCAGCAUUUUGUUGGGCACUAGUAAUGUGACUGCCGGUGACCAACCGGAGGAAGGCGGGGAUGACGUCAAAUCAUCAUGCCCCUUAUGACCUGGGCUACACACGUGCUACAAUGGAUGGAACAAAGGGCAGCGAAGCCGCGAGGUGUAGCGAAUCCCAUAAAACCAUUCUCAGUUCGGAUUGCAGGCUGCAACUCGCCUGCAUGAAGCCGGAAUCGCUAGUAAUCGCGGAUCAGCAUGCCGCGGUGAAUACGUUCCCGGGCCUUGUACACACCGCCCGUCACACCACGAGAGUUGGCAACACCCGAAGUCGGUGAGGUAACC